AUACGAGCGGUGCAAGCGUUAAUCGGAAUUACUGGGCGUAAAGCGUUCGUAGGCGGUUUGUUAAGCAAGAUGUGAAAGCCCAGGGCUCAACCUUGGAACUGCAUUUUGAACUGGCAGGCUAGAGUACUGUAGAGGGUGGUGGAAUUUCCAGUGUAGCGGUGAAAUGCGUAGAGAUUGGAAGGAACAUCAGUGGCGAAGGCGGCCACCUGGACAGAUACUGACGCUGAGGAACGAAAGCGUGGGGAGCAAACAGGAUUAGAAACCCCAGUAGUCC
RNAcentral lists this ribosomal RNA (274 nucleotides) under uncultured bacterium. RNAcentral's name for it is "partial 16S ribosomal RNA". It matches the Rfam family "Bacterial small subunit ribosomal RNA", at positions 523 to 796 of the family's 1533-position model. The record is from RNAcentral.